GUGGCUGGCUCCCUGCCAUUCUGAUUUUACUUUCAAUGUCAUCACUUUAGAGAAGAUUUCUCCAACCUUCCUGCUAAAGUGGUUGAGUUUUAGUUGGAGGUUGCAUCAUGCUGGAAGGUGGGCUUCAGGAAAACAGGCCCUUCUCUGUCCCAGUCAUUAUGUUGUACCCACAGCCUACAAAUGUACGAACAGUCCUGGGAGGAGCUCACUGUGUCUGAUGAAACGAGGAAGAAACCCUUGUUAUUAGCUGUUAUAGAUCAGCCCUGGGAUUUCUUUGGAAGGAAUGAUGCUGAAGCUGAGACUCCAGUACUUUGGCCACCUCAUGCGAAGAGUUGACUCAUUGGAAAAGACUCUGAUGCUGGAAGGGAUUGGGGGCAAGAGGAGAAGGGGACGACAGAGGAUGAGAUGGCUGGAUGGCAUCACUGACUCGAUGGACGACUGUGAUUUGUGCUAUGCAGACCUGCUGACAUUUUAUGGGAUCACAAAGAGUCAGACACAACUUAGCAACUGAGUAACAACAAAAGCUAUGGACAGUUGUCUGAGAAAUAAAAUGACCCCAUGGCAGUACCCAUCCACAGACAGACUUGGGCAAGAAUCAGUCCUUGCCCACCACUAACUAUGAAAAUUUGGGCAAUUACUGAUUUUGCUUUUGGCCAUGCCAUGCAGCACGCAUGAUCUUCCCCGACCAGGGAUCAAACCCAAGACCUCUGCAUUGGAAGCAUGGAGUUUUUAACCACUGGACCACUGGGGAAUUCCUCAAUCUUUCUGAGAUCCUUUUCACCAUAAGAUGGAGAAGAUAUAAGACCCACUUCAGUGAACAAUGGUGUAAAUUUUUUUUUUCUUUUUAUUAUUAUUAUUUUUUUUACUUUGCAAUAAUGGUGUAAAUUUAAAUGAAAAAAAAUCACAUAAAGCCUUUAGCGGUGAUACUUUAUACGUAGCAAAAGCUCAACAGAACUCAUUAUUAAUGCUAUUUUUGGACUAUGUCCCAUGGUUUCAGGGGUGUCAGAAACAAGUUCUUAAUCUCGCUAAAGUCAGAUCCAUGUAUAUGAGAAAAUUAAGUGUGCGCACAGAAAAGAAACACCUGCAGUGUUUGUCUAAUUGCUUUGGACUCCUCAGAGAACUGGAUGGAGCUAUGGAGGGUCAAACAUACCUAAUUAGAGAAUCAACAAAUUCUGAAUAGGUGCCAUAUUUAGAGGGACGGUUUGACUUCUCAAUACAAUAAACUGGCUGGAGGAAGAUGGGGAAGGGGGAGACGAGGAGCAUCACUUCAGCACAUUCCUGACUUUAACUUGAGAGAUUCUUCACGCAGAGAAAUUUCUCUCAUUCUUCUGGAUUCUGCAGUGAGAAAUAACACAAUCCAGCCUUACUGGUUUUGUACCAGGCUCUGUCCACUUAAUCCUUGCACAGCCCUAUGAGAGUGGGGAUAUUUUAUCACUCACAUUUUAGAUAAAGGACAACUGAAAGCACAGACUGUCCCUGUAACUUGCCCAAGGUCAUAUGGCUGGGGCACUGGUAGUCUGAUUUAAAUCUAGGUACAUUUACUUCAGCCCUUAUUUCCAAUGCUGUACUACAAGGCUGCAUAGUAGAAAGAGUGUGUGAGUCACACAUGCACAUAAAAUGCUUUCCUAGUCACAUUUUGAAAAAGGAAACAGGUACCAUGAAGUUUUAAAAUUUAUUUGAUUGAAGGAUAAUUGAUUUACAAUGUUGUGAUAAUUUCUGCUGUACAGAAAAGUGAUUCAGUUAUAUAUAUACAUGUGUGUGUGUGUAUUAGGCUUCCCUCGUGGCACUAGUGGUAAAAAACCCGCCUGCUAAUCAGUUGAGUGGAGUUCAGUCAUUCAGUCAUGCCCAACUCUUUGUGGUCCCAUGGACUGCAGCAUGCCAGGCCUCCCUGUCCUUCACCAUCUCCCAGAGCUUAUGCAAACUCGUAUCCAUCAAGGCAGUGAUGCCAUCCAACCAUCUCAUCCUCUGUCGUCCCCUCCUCCGCCUGCCUUCAGUCAUUCCCAGCAUAAGGGUCCUUGCCAAUGAGUCAGUUCUUCGCAUCAGGUGGCCAAAGUAUUGGAGAUUCAGCUUCAGCAUCGGUCCUUCCAAUGAAUAUUCAGGACUGAUUUCCUUUAGGAGGGACUGAUUGGAUCUCCUUGCAGGCCAAGGAGACUCUCAAGAGUCUUCUCCAACACCACACUUCAAAAGCAUCAAUUCUUUGGCACUCAGCUUUCCUUGUAGUCUAAUUCUCACAUCUGUACAUGAAUCCUGCAAAAACCAUAGCUUUGACUAGAUGGACCUUUGUUGGCAAAGUAAUAUCUCUGCUUUUUAAUAUGCUGUGUAGGUUGGUCAUAGCUUUUCUUCUAAGGAGCAAGCAUCUUUUAAUUUCAUGGCUGCAGUCACCAUCUGCAGUGAUUUUGGAGCCCAGAAAAAUAAAGUCAGCCACUGUUUCCAUUGUUUCCCCAUCUAUUUGCCAUGAAGUGAUGGGACCAGAUGCCAUGAUCAUCGUUUUCUGAGUGUUGAGUUUUAAGCCAGCUUUUCACUCUCCUCUUUCACUUUCAUCAAGAGACUCUUAGUUCUUCGCUUUCUGCCAUAAGGGUGGUGUGAUCUGCAUAUCUGAGAUUAUUGAUAUUUCUUCUGGCAAUCUUGAUUCCAGCUUGUGCUUCAUCUAGCCUGGCAUUUAGCAUGAUGUACUCUGUAUAUAAGUUAAAUAAGCAGGGUGAAAAUAUACAGUCUUGACAUGCUCCUUUCCCAGUUUGGAACCAGUCUGCUGUUCCGUGUCCGGUUUUAACUGUUGCUUCUUGAGCUGCAUACAGAUUUCUCAGGAGGCAGGUCAGGUGGUCUGGUAUUCCCAUCUCUUUCAGAAUUUUCCAGUUUGUUGUAAUCUACACAGUCAAAGGCUUUGGCAUAUUCAAUAAAGCAGAAGUAGAUGUUUUUCUGGAACUCUCUUGCUUUUUCAAUGAUCCAGCGGAUGUUGGCAAUUUGAUCUCUGGUUUCUCUGCCUUUUCUAAAACCAGCUUGAACAUCUGGAAGUUCACGGUUCAUUUGCUGUUGAAGCCUGGCUUAGAGAGUUUUGAGCACUACUUUACUAGCGUGUGAGAGUGCAACUGUAUGGUAGUUUGAGCAUUCUUUGGCAUUGCCUUUCUUUGGGAUUGGAAUGAAAACUGACCUUUUCCAUUCCUGUGGCCACUGCUGAGUUCUCCAAAUUUGCUGGCAUUUGAGUGCAGCACUUUCAUGGCAUCAUCUUUUAGGACUUGAAAUAGCUCAACUGGAAUUUCAUCACCUCCACUAGCUUUGUUCAUAAGAUGCUUCCUAAGGCCAACUUGACUUUGUAUUCCAGGAUGUCUGUCUCUAGGUGAGUGAUCACACCAUCAUGAUUAUCUGGGUCAUAAAGACUUUUUUGAUAUAAUUUUUCUGUGUAUUCUUGCCAGCUCUUCUUAAUAUCUCCUGCUUCUGUUAGGUCCAUACCAUUUGUGUUUUUAUUGUGCCCAUCUUUGCAUGAAGUAUUCCCUUGGUAUCUCUAAUUUUCUUGGAGAGAUCUCUAGUCUUUCCCAAUCUAUUGUUUUCCUCUAUUUCUUUGCAUUGAUCACUGAGGAAGGCAGUGAUCUCUCCUUGCUAUUCAUAUCUCUCCUUGCUAUUCUUUGGAACUCUGUAUUCAGAUGGCUAUAUCCUUCCUUUUUUCCUUUGCCUUUCACUUCUCUUCUUCUCUCAGCUAUUUGUAAGGCCUCCUCAGACAACCAUUUUCCCUUUUUGCAUUUCUUUUUCUUGAAGAUGGUCUUGACUGCUGUGUCAUGUACAAUGUCAUGAACCUCUGUCAGUUCUCCUUUAGGCACUCUAUCAUAUCUAAUCCUUUGAAUCUAUUUAUUAGGGAUUUGAUUUAGGUCAUAUCUGAAUGGUCUAAUGGUUUUCCCUACUUUCUUCAAUUUAAGUUUGAAUGUCACAAUAAGGAGUUAACGUCUGAGUUAUAGCCAUGUGCUGACUGUAUAGAGCUUCUCCAUCUUCAGCUGCAUAGAAUAUAAUCAAUCUGAUUUUGGUAUGACCAUCUGAUGAUGUCCGUGUAUAGAGUCAUUGCUUGUGUUGUUGGAAUAGCUUGCUUGCUAUGACCAGUGCGUUCUCUUGGCAAAACUCUAUUAGCCUUUGCCCUGCUUCAUUCCUUCCAAGGCCGAACUUGCCUGUUACUAUAGGUGUCUCUUGACUUCCUAUUUUUGGGUUCCUGUCCCCUAUGAUGAAAAGGACAUCUUUUUUGGGUGUUAGUUCUAGAAGGUCUUGUAGGUUGUCAUCAGUUCAGUUCAGUCGCUCAGUCAUGUCUGACCCUUUGCGACCCCAUGAAUCGCAGCAUGCCAGGCCUCUCUGUCCAUCACCAACUCCCGGAGUUCACUCAGACUCACGUCCAUCGAGUCCAUGAUGCCAUCCAGCCAUCUCAUCCUCUGUCAUCCCCUUCUCUUCCUGCCUCCAGUCCCUCCCAGCAUCAGGGUCUUUUCCAGUGAGUCAACUCUUCUCAUGAAGUGGCCAAAGUACUGGAGUUUCAGCUUCAGCAUCACUCCUUCCAAAGAAAUCCCAGGGCUGAUCUCCUUCAGAAUGGACUGGUUGGAUCUCCUUGCAUUCCAAGGGACUCUCAGGAGUCUUCUCCAAUAGCACAGUUCAAAAGCAUCAAUUCUUUGGCACUCAGCUUUCUUCACAGUCCAACUUUCACAUCCAUACAUGACCACAGGAAAAACCAUAGCCUUGACUACUUUGUUGGCUAAGUAAUGUCUCUGCUUUUGAAUAUGCUAUCUAGGUUGGUCAUAACUUUUCUUCCAAGGAGUAAGCGUCUUUUAAUUUCAUGGCUGCAGUCACCAUCUGCAGUGAUUUUGGAGCCCCGCAAAAUGAAGUCUGACACUGUUUCCACUGUUUCCCCAUCCAUUUGCCAUGAAGUGAUGGGACCAGAUGCCAUGAUCUUCAUUUUCUGAAUGUUGAGCUUUAAGCCAAUUUUUCACUUUCCACUUUCACUUUCAUCAAGAGGCUUUUUAGUUCCUCUUCACUUUCUGCCAUAAGGGUGAUGUCAUCUGCAUAUCUGAGGUUAUUGAUAUUUCUCCUGGCACUCUUGAUUCCAGCUUGUGCUUCUUCCAGCCCAGCGUUUCUCAUGAUGCACUCUGCAUAUAAGUUAAACAAGCAGGGUGACAAUAUACAGCCUUGACGUACUCCUUUUCCUAUGUGGAAUCAGUCUGUUGUUCCAUGUCCAGUUCUAACUGUUGCUUCCUGACCUGCAUAAAGAUUUCUCAGAGGCAAGUCAGGUGGUCUGGUAUUCCCAUCUCUUGAAGAAUUUUCCACAGUUUAUUGUGAUCCACACAGUCAAAGGCUUUGGCAUAGUCCAUAAAGCAGAAAUAGAUGUUUUUCUGGAACUCUCUUGCUUUUUCGAUGAUGCAGCGGAUGUUGGCAAUUUGAUCUCUGGUUCCUCUGCCUUUUCUAAAACCAGCUUGAACAUCUGGAAGUUCACAGUUCAUAUAUUGCUGAAGCCUGGCUUGGAGAAUUUUGAACAUUACUUUACUAGCGUGUGAGAUGAGUGCAAUUGUGUGGUAGUUUGAGCAUUCUUUGGCAUUGCCUUUCUUUGGGAUUGAAAUGAAAACUGACCUUUUCCAGUCCUGUGGCAUCAUAGAACCUUUCAAGUUCAAUUUUUUUGGCAUUAGUGGUUGGGGCAUAGACUUGGAUUACUGUGAUAUUGAAUGGUUUGCCUUGGAAAUGAACAGAGAAUAUUUUGUCAUUUUUGAGGUUGCAUCCAAGUACUACAUUUUGAACUCUUUUGUUGACUAUGAGGGCUACUCCAUUUCUUCCAAGGGAUUCUUGAAAUUAAUUUUAAUCAUAUGUUUAAGUUAACCAUUCAACAUGUAAUCACAGAAAAUAGUCUUUUUUCGUAUGUCAUGAGUUAGCACUUCUGCACAGCUCUAUUAGGACCUUUCAGUGGUCAGGAGCCAUGUGCCGUUGGUGGUAUCCACAGCAGGAAGCACAACCCUGUGUUCACUCAGCCAGUUACUGAACUCUGUAUUUGUAUCUCUAUGUUUACACAGUCUUUAUUCCUUUUGCUUUUACCUAUUCAAACUAGAAAGAUUCUGAGUACUGAAAGUGAAAAUAAGUUAUGAAAAAAAGGAAUAAAGAAAACAGUGGGUCAUUGCUUGGCAAUUUCUAACAACACCUAGGAAAGCUAUGGUUUUCGGUGACUUCUGUCAGAUUGCUCAAAUAUUUUGAGUUCAACUGCAUGCCCAUUUAAGAACAUAAGGUUCAUUUAUUAUGUUUCCCCCUUGGCCAAGCAGAAAUCUAAAAAUACACUCCUAAGUUGUUAGGUUUGACCAAACUCUUUAUAUAAAUAUCCGUUUGCAGUUGUUGUUUUAGCAAAAGAAAAAGCCAAUCUCCUGUCUUUGGGUUCUAAAAACUUUAGGAAACUGAUUUUCCCCCUAAGCACUUCCUUCCUCUAAACCACGUACAGACUGAAAAAAAGGAAGUGAAAAUCAGAUUUUAUUUUUUUUCCUACAAGAGGACAGAAAAGACAGCCCCUCCCCCACAUGACUGACAUUCUUUUGCCAUUUCCCCUCCCACCACCGAAUCCCAAAUGAUGAUUAGAGGAUGGAAACUUGGCCCCUUAACAUAAAGCUUCACGCUGUAAACUAAACCCUGGGGAAUGUUGGCCUUAGGAAUCAUAUCUCAUCUGAUGGGUUUGAAAGGGCCUACGGGGAAUCACCAUGUCACAUAGAUCCUUUUUUGCGUUUCAGGCAAUGUUUUCCCAACAUUAGACAAACAGCAGACAACAGUAGACAGUAAGUGCUUGUUCAAUUAAAUUUUUUUAAUUAAUUGGAGUAAAUUCAAGAAAAAUUUCUGUAGAUAAGUAUACAAGAAAAGCAGUUUACUAUUUCCAUAGACUCUAAUGGGAACACUUAGAAGAUAUAGUUUGAAUAGAAAGAAAUGACCUAUGGGACAAGAGUGAUAUAAAGACGUGGUAGAAAAACCUGGAACUUAAAAGGGCAACUAAUUCCCAGAAGUUCUUCCUUGACCCUGUCUUCAUGUGAAAUUUUAAUAUGAGUAAAAUAUAAAAACUAACUAUAAAAUAAAGGUAAAAUAAUAUGUAGAAGAAUAUUUAUAAAUUUUGGUCAAGGGGAAGAUUUUAAGGUAGUAGAUAUGAAACUUGGAAAACACAGUUAUAUUUAACUUGUCUCCCUAUAUACAUAUAAGUGCAUUAUAUAUGUAGUAUUUAGCAUAUAGCUUAUGCAAAAUAAUGAGUUGGGAAACUUUUAUGCAAUUAGAAUACUAUCAGAAGACAUAACAAGUUGCUGUUCCUAAUAUAGAAAUAGCCGUUAAAAGGAAAGGCAAACUAUAAAUUAAAAAAAAAAAGAAAAAUGACUACAAACAUUUUCUUCCUCACUAGUGAAUCAGAGGUGCAAAGUAUACAAAAAUCAGAUGAAAAUUUUAAUGCAUCACUUAAGCAAAACAAGCAAACAAAAAAGUAACAUCAUCCAACUACAGUGAAAUAGGUCAGCCAUCCAGCUGCUGGGGGUGUGAAUUGCUUGAAUAAAUAGAGUAGACUUCACAGUGAUUUCUGGUGAAUAAUACCUAAUAGCAUUAAUGUCAGCUGUCUGAGCUUAAAACAUUUUAGCAAAGUAUCUUUCAGAACUGUGUGCAGGGCAAAGUGAAGCCAUAUUGAUUAUUACAGUCAUAUGUCCUUCCGUGCAUGCUCAUUUGUGUCCAGCUCUUUGCAACCUCAUGGACUCUAGCUGCCCAGGCUCCUCUGCCCUUGGGAUUAUCCAGGCAGGAAUACUGGAGUGGGGUGCCAUUUCCAUUUCAAGGUAUAUGUCCUUAUAGAGAAAAACAAAUAUAUGAUAUCAUUUAUAUAUAGAAUCUAAAAAAAAAAAAAAACAAAUGAACUUGCUUCCAAAACAGAAAUAGACCUACAGAUGAAGAAAGCCUAAGGGAAAGGUUUACCAAAGGGGAAAGGGUUAGGAGGGAUAAAUUAUGAGUUUGGAAUUAAUAUAUACACACUACUAUGUAUAAAAUAGAUAAACAGCAAGGAUCUACUGUAUACCGCAGGGAACUGUACUUGGGAAAAGUAUCUGAAAAAGUAUAUAUAAAGAAUAUGCAUAUAUAUAUAUAUAUAUAAAACUAUCACUGUGUUGUACACUUGAAACUAACAUAUUGUAAAUCAACUAUAUGCCAAUAAAAUCUGAAAAAAAGAGCAAAAAAACUAUAUGUCCUUAUGCAUUUUUAUAAAUAUAAAUAGAUACUAACCAGCUGGAUAAAUCGCCUUAUGCUGUAACUUUCGGUUGCCUGUGUGACUCCUAUGCCGAUGGAGCAGGAGUGGGAGGCACAGGGCUGGCUUUGGGCCAGGGCUGCUCAGGG
Molecule: long non-coding RNA, 8340 nt
Organism: Bos taurus (domestic cattle)
Lineage: Eukaryota; Metazoa; Chordata; Mammalia; Artiodactyla; Bovidae
Source: Ensembl